This 88-nucleotide transfer RNA is filed under the name Nanobdellota archaeon. RNAcentral describes it as "tRNA-Leu". It matches the Rfam family "tRNA". Rfam says of the family: Transfer RNA (tRNA) molecules are approximately 80 nucleotides in length. Lineage: Archaea; Nanobdellati; Nanobdellota. The record is from RNAcentral.
GGCGUGGUGGCACAAUCUGGUAAUGCUCCAGGUUUAGGCCCUGGUGAGACCCACAAGUCUCGUGCGGGUUCGAAUCCCGCCCGCGCCG